This 370-nucleotide ribosomal RNA is filed under the name Colochirus robustus. Its description in RNAcentral is "partial 12S ribosomal RNA". Lineage: Eukaryota; Metazoa; Echinodermata; Holothuroidea; Dendrochirotida; Cucumariidae. The record is from RNAcentral.
CGGGCGGUGUGUACGUAUUCUAGAGCGUUUUUUAUUUAAUAUUUCUUUAGAAAAUUACUAUUGAAUCCUUUUUCUUUUUACUUUUCAUGUAAAUUUCCUCUGUUUCUAAGUAGGGUAGCUCAUAAUUCCCCUGUUUAUUGGCUGCGUCUUGAUCUGGCGUUUGGAAAUUUUUCUUUUCGCUAACGUUCUUAAAGGUUAGCUGACGACGAAAAUAUACAGGCUGUUGGUUUUUCUUAAACAGGUAAGGUGUCUUGUGGAUUAUCAAUUUGAAAACAAGCUCCUCCAAGGAGAUUUAGAAAACCGCCAAGUUCUUUGAGUUUCUAAGGUUUAUACUACUCUGGUGUUUGUGUUAGUUGUUUUAAGGUAUAGU